GCAAACUUGGUCAUUUAGAGGAAGUAAAAGUCGUAACAAGGUUUCCGUAGGUGAACCUGCGGAAGGAUCAUUACAGAGUACCGGCGCCUCCGGGCGCCUACUCCCACCCUUUUGCGAACCCGUCCUCUGUUGCUUUGGCGGGCCAGGCGCCCACCGCGCCGCCGGCCGUCUCGGCUGGAGAGCGCCCGCCAGAGGUCCGACAAACUCGUGCUCACCGUGUCACGUCUGAGUUUUUUAAAAAGAAUAGAAUCAAAACUUUCAACAACGGAUCUCUUGGUUCUGGCAUCGAUGAAGAACGCAGC
RNAcentral lists this unclassified non-coding RNA (302 nucleotides) under uncultured fungus. RNAcentral's name for it is "partial contains small subunit ribosomal RNA, internal transcribed spacer 1, and 5.8S ribosomal RNA". The stretch from base 1 to 73 matches the Rfam family "Eukaryotic small subunit ribosomal RNA", at positions 1759 to 1831 of the family's 1831-position model. The record is from RNAcentral. Lineage: Eukaryota; Fungi.